CGGUGAACUCCGCUUGCGGGGGGAUCAGUGGCGAACGGGUGAGUAACACGUGGGCAACCUGCCCCUGGCUCUGGGAUAACUCCAAGAAAUUGGGGCUAAUACCGGAUAUGACCGCUGACCGCAUGGUCUGGUGGUGGAAAGAUUUAUCGGCUGGGGAUGGGCCCGCGGCCUAUCAGCUUGUUGGUGGGGUAGUGGCCUACCAAGGCGACGACGGGUAGCCGGCCUGAGAGGGUGACCGGCCACACUGGGACUGAGACACGGCCCAGACUCCUACGGGAGGCAGCAGUGGGGAAUAUUGCGCAAUGGGCGAAAGCCUGACGCAGCGACCCCGCGUGGGGGAUGACGGCCUUCGGGUUGUAAACCUCUUUCAGCAGGGACGAAGCGCAUGUGACGGUACCUGCAGAAGAAGCACCGGCCAACUACGUGCCAGCAGCC
Molecule: ribosomal RNA, 435 nt
Filed under: uncultured bacterium
Lineage: Bacteria
Description: bacterial SSU rRNA
Rfam family: Bacterial small subunit ribosomal RNA
Source: RNAcentral